GAUGAACGCUGGCGGCGUGCCUAAUACAUGCCAGUCGAGCGAACAGACGAGGAGCUUGCUCCUCUGACGUUAGCGGCGGACGGGUGAGUAACACGUGGAUAACCUACCUAUAAGACUGGGAUAACUUCGGGAAGCCGGAGCUAAUACCGGAUAAUAUAUUGAGCCGCAUGGUUCAAUAGUGAAAGACGGUUUUGCUGUCACUUAUAGAUGGAUCCGCGCCGCAUUAGCUAGUUGGUAAGGUAACGGCUUACCAAGGCAACGAUGCGUAGCCGACCUGAGAGGGAGAUUGGCCACACUGGAACUGAGACACGGUCCAGACUCCUACGGGAGGCAGCAGUAGGGAAUCUUCCGCAAUGGGCGAAAGCCUGACGGAGCAACGCCGCGUGAGUGAUGAAGGUCUUCGGAUCGUAAAACUCUGUUAUUAGGGAAGAACAAAUGUGUAAGUAACUAUGCACGUCUUGACGGUACCUAAUCAGAAAGCCACGGCUAACUACGUG
Molecule: ribosomal RNA, 497 nt
Filed under: uncultured bacterium
Lineage: Bacteria
Description: partial 16S ribosomal RNA
Rfam family: Bacterial small subunit ribosomal RNA
Source: RNAcentral